Molecule: ribosomal RNA, 292 nt
Filed under: uncultured bacterium
Lineage: Bacteria
Description: partial 16S ribosomal RNA
Source: RNAcentral
GGACUACCCGGGUAUCUAAUCCUGUUUGCUCCCCACGCUUUCGCGUCUCAGCGUCACUACAAGUCCAGCAAGUCGCCUUCGCCACUGGUGUUCCUGCGAAUAUCUACGAAUUUCACCUCUACACUCGCAAUUCCACUUGCCUCUACUUGAGUCCAGGUCGCCAGUUUUGAAGGCAGUUCCGAGGUUGAGCCUCGGGAUUUCACCCCCAACUUAACGACCCGCCUACACGCGCUUUACGCCCAGUAAAUCCGAACAACGCUAGCCCCCUUCGUAUUACCGCGGCUGCUGGCAC